CGCGUAGGUGGUUUGUUAAGCGAGAUGUGAAAGCCCCGGGCUUAACCUGGGAACGGCAUUUCGAACUGGCAGGCUAGAGUGUGGUAGAGGGUAGUGGAAUUUCCUGUGUAGCGGUGAAAUGCGUAGAUAUAGGAAGGAACACCAGUGGCGAAGGCGGCUACCUGGACCAACACUGACACUGAGGUGCGAAAGCGUAGGGAGCAAACA
Molecule: ribosomal RNA, 207 nt
Filed under: uncultured bacterium
Lineage: Bacteria
Description: partial 16S ribosomal RNA
Rfam family: Bacterial small subunit ribosomal RNA
Source: RNAcentral